UGGGGAAUCUUGGACAAUGGGGGGCAACCCUGAUCCAGCCAUGCCGCGUGAGUGAUGAAGGCCUUAGGGUCGUAAAGCUCUUUCGCCUGUGAAGAUAAUGACGGUAGCAGGUAAAGAAACCCCGGCUAACUCCGUGCCAGCAGCCGCGGUAAUACGGAGGGGGUUAGCGUUGUUCGGAAUUACUGGGCGUAAAGCGCACGUAGGCGGACCAGAAAGUUGGGGGUGAAAUCCCGGGGGCUCAACCCCGGAACUGCCUCCAAAACUAUUGGUCUAGAGUUCGAGAGAGGUGAGUGGAAUUCCAAGUGUAGAGGUGAAAUUCGUAGAUAUUUGGAGGAACACCAGUGGCGAAGGCGGCUCACUGGCUCGAUACUGACGCUGAGGUGCGAAAGUGUGGGGAGCAAACAGGAUUAGAUACCCUGGGUAGUCCACACCGUAAAACGAUGAAUGCCAGUCGUCGGGUAGCAUGCUAUUCGGUGACACACCU
Molecule: ribosomal RNA, 484 nt
Filed under: uncultured bacterium
Lineage: Bacteria
Description: bacterial SSU rRNA
Rfam family: Bacterial small subunit ribosomal RNA
Source: RNAcentral